GAAUGCUGACAUAAGUAACGAUAAAGCGGGUGAAAAGCCCGCUCGCCGGAAGACCAAGGGUUCCUGUCCAACGUUAAUCGGGGCAGGGUGAGUCGACCCCUAAGGCGAGGCCGAAAGGCGUAGUCGAUGGGAAACAGGUUAAUAUUCCUGUACUUGGUGUUACUGCGAAGGGGGGACGGAGAAGGCUAUGUUGGCCGGGCGACGGUUGUCCCGGUUUAAGCGUGUAGGCUGGUUUUCCAGGCAAAUCCGGAAAAUCAAGGCUGAGGCGUGAUGACGAGGCACUACGGUGCUGAAGCGACAAAUGCCCUGCUUCCAGGAAAAGCCUCUAAGCAUCAGGUAACAUCAAAUCGUACCCCAAACCGACACAGGUGGUCAGGUAGAGAAUACCAAGGCGCUUGAGAGAACUCGGGUGAAGGAACUAGGCAAAAUGGUGCCGUAACUUCGGGAGAAGGCACGCUGAUAUGUAGGUGAAGCGACUUGCUCGUGGAGCUGAAAUCGGUCGAAGAUACCAGCUGGCUGCAACUGUUUAUUAAAAACACAGCACUGUGCAAACACGAAAGUGGACGUAUACGGUGUGACGCCUGCCCGGUGCCGGAAGGUUAAUUGAUGGGGUUAGCGGUAACGCGAAGCUCUUGAUCGAAGCCCCGGUAAACGGCGGCCGUAACUAUAACGGUCCUAAGGUAGCGAAAUUCCUUGUCGGGUAAGUUCCGACCUGCACGAAUGGCGUAAUGAUGGCCAGGCUGUCUCCACCCGAGACUCAGUGAAAUUGAACUCGCUGUGAAGAUGCAGUGUACCCGCGGCAAGACGGAAAGACCCCGUGAACCUUUACUAUAGCUUGACACUGAACAUUGAGCCUUGAUGUGUAGGAUAGGUGGGAGGCUUUGAAGUGUGGACGCCAGUCUGCAUGGAGCCGACCUUGAAAUACCACCCUUUAAUGUUUGAUGUUCUAACGUGGGCCCCUUACCGGGGUUGCGGACAGUGUCUGGUGGGUAGUUUGACUGGGGCGGUCUCCUCCUAAAGAGUAACGGAGGAGCACGAAGGUUGGCUAAUCCUGGUCGGACAUCAGGAGGUUAGUGCAAUGGCAUAAGCCAGCUUGACUGCGAGCGUGACGGCGCGAGCAGGUGCGAAAGCAGGUCAUAGUGAUCCGGUGGUUCUGAAUGGAAGGGCCAUCGCUCAACGGAUAAAAGGUACUCCGGGGAUAACAGGCUGAUACCGCCCAAGAGUUCAUAUCGACGGCGGUGUUUGGCACCUCGAUGUCGGCUCAUCACAUCCUGGGGCUGAAGUAGGUCCCAAGGGUAUGGCUGUUCGCCAUUUAAAGUGGUACGCGAGCUGGGUUUAGAACGUCGUGAGACAGUUCGGUCCCUAUCUGCCGUGGGCGCUGGAGAACUGAGGGGGGCUGCUCCUAGUACGAGAGGACCGGAGUGGACGCAUCACUGGUGUUCGGGUUGUCAUGCCAAUGGCACUGCCCGGUAGCUAAAUGCGGAAGAGAUAAGUGCUGAAAGCAUCUAAGCACGAAACUUGCCCCGAGAUGAGUUCUCCCUGACUCCUUGAGAGUCCUGAAGGAACGUUGAAGACGACGACGUUGAUAGGCCGGGUGUGUAAGCGCAGCGAUGCGUUGAGCUAACCGGUACUAAUGAACCGUGAGGCUUAACCUUACAACGCCGAAG
RNAcentral lists this ribosomal RNA (1667 nucleotides) under Escherichia coli. Its description in RNAcentral is "partial 23S ribosomal RNA". It matches the Rfam family "Bacterial large subunit ribosomal RNA", at positions 1292 to 2925 of the family's 2925-position model. Lineage: Bacteria; Pseudomonadati; Pseudomonadota; Gammaproteobacteria; Enterobacterales; Enterobacteriaceae. The record is from RNAcentral.